This 468-nucleotide ribosomal RNA is filed under the name uncultured bacterium. Its description in RNAcentral is "partial 16S ribosomal RNA". It matches the Rfam family "Bacterial small subunit ribosomal RNA", at positions 28 to 507 of the family's 1533-position model. The record is from RNAcentral.
GACGAACGCUGGCGGCGUGCUUAACACAUGCAAGUCGAACGGAAAGGCCCUGCUUUUGUGGGGUGCUCGAGUGGCGAACGGGUGAGUAACACGUGAGUAACCUGCCCUUGACUUUGGGAUAACUUCAGGAAACUGGGGCUAAUACCGGAUAGGAGCUCCUGCUGCAUGGUGGGGGUUGGAAAGUUUCGGCGGUUGGGGAUGGACUCGCGGCUUAUCAGCUUGUUGGUGGGGUAGUGGCUUACCAAGGUUUUGACGGGUAGCCGGCCUGAGAGGGUGACCGGCCACAUUGGGACUGAGGUACGGCCCAGACUCCUACGGGAGGCAGCAGUGGGGAAGAUUGCAGAAUGGGCGGAAGCCGGAUGCAGCAACGCCGCGGGCGGGAAGACGGCCUUCGGGUGGAAGAACGCUUUCGCAUGUAACGAAGCGUGAGUGACGGUAACGGGUAAAGAAGCACCCGCUAACUACGUG